UGGGUCAGGGCGGUUCGCAGGUGCUGUCAGAGCUGGGCGGGGCAGCCGGGUCGUAGAGGCGGGCGCCAGUCGCGGUCGGUGGAGAGGGAUGAGGAUGUAGGAGGGACGGACGUGGCGGAAGCCGCGGGGACUGCGGGGGCGGAGUGCCUCUGGGGAGCCAGGGAGGCCUUUCCAGAGGCUCCUGGGGGAAGAAGAGGCGAAGCGAGAGUCCCCGGGGAAGCCCUACUCCACCCCCAGCCGGAGCCUGGGUUGUGCCUGCACGGACCAGAGCCCACAGUGCGAGUUGCUGUAGGCAACCAGCUAGGGUGGCCAACUUCUCCCGGUUGGCCCGAGAUGUUCUGGUUUUGGGACCACAGCGUCCCAGGCCUCCAGCCCACCACAGUGACCAUAUUGUGCGCCCCCUGCCCAUCUUCUCCCGCAGCUUCCCUAGAUUAGGCUUGGGAGGCAAGGGGAGGCCUCCUGACUUUUCUCACUGCCUUCGUUAAUAUAAAGAUGAAGGCACACUCCACAACUUCCUUCUGGCCAGGCCCAGACAUGUCUGUCCUUGUGAGAUAAAAGCUUCCAUGGGAGCCUUCCUUCCUAAUCAAGAUGCAAAUAGUACGGUAUUCCGAACAGACACUAAAAAUAGCUGUCAUCUCAAAGAAUCCAGUGCUUGUGUCACAGUAUGAGAAAGUAGAUGCUGGGGAACAGCGUUUAAUGAAUGAAGCAUUCCAGCCAGCCAGUGAUCUCUUUGGACCUUGCAUUCUCCAUCAGAUUGGAUCACCUCCCACCCUGAGGCCCCCCAAGACUUUGAACAGUUCUUCAGUCAUCCUUACAGAAAGAUACCCUCUCCAGACAAACGCAGUAUUUAUAUACGGUCCAUUGGUAAAUACUGGUAAUGUGCUAGUUUUGGUUCGGUUUUGCAAUGGUUCUGUUGUCAGGAAUAGUCCGGGCUAUUGGUCUGAUUCAGAUGGGCCAUUUUAGGAUCAUUUUUGAUAUUCAUUGCAAUGGUACAAGUUUUGUAGCCAAACAGACCUAGAACAUUUUUUUUUAAUUCAUAUCAAC
RNAcentral lists this long non-coding RNA (1044 nucleotides) under Homo sapiens (human). RNAcentral's name for it is "non-protein coding lnc-GNA13-2:10". Lineage: Eukaryota; Metazoa; Chordata; Mammalia; Primates; Hominidae. The record is from RNAcentral.